Non-coding RNA from Aedes albopictus (Asian tiger mosquito), 58 nucleotides. Lineage: Eukaryota; Metazoa; Arthropoda; Insecta; Diptera; Culicidae. The record is from Rfam.
UAGCCUAGUGGUUAAGGCUAAGGAUCGCCAAUCCAGAGACGGCGGGUUCGAUUCCCGU